This is a long non-coding RNA of Esox lucius (northern pike), 624 nucleotides long. The record is from Ensembl. NCBI's taxonomy places the organism in Eukaryota, Metazoa, Chordata, Actinopteri, Esociformes, Esocidae.
GGGUACAUUGACAUUUAUUUUAUUUCUCAUGACUAGAGGUCCAUUGACAUGUAUUUUAUUUCUCAUGACUAGAGGUCCAUUGACAUUUAUUUUAUUUCUCAUGACUAGAGGUCCAUUGACAUUUAUUUUAUUUCUCAUGACCAGGGGUCCAUUACAAAACCUUCACUGGAAUCUUCAUGCACUCAAUAUCCUGUUCUUGUUCAGGAUGGAUGAUUCAUACUUGUUUGUGAAGUAAACAUCCACUCUUCAAAACUGAAACAACUAUAUAAACAUUGUUCAAAAAGCAUUUCAGGCCUAAAGCUCUCAGCCAGAGACUUUAUCCCCCUUUCCACAUUGUGCAGUACUCUUCCCAGUGUAACCAGCCACCUGCAACAAGCUGCUGCAACAAUCGGUUUGCAUAACCAAAGAAUUUCUGCACAAACUGUCAGAAACCUUCUCAGGGAAGCUCAUCUGCAAGCUCAUCGUCCUCAUCGGGGUCUCGACCUGACUGCAGUUCGUCGUUGUAACCAACUUGAGUGGGCAAAUGCUCACAUUCGAUGGCAUCUGGCACUUUGGAGAGGUGUUCUCUUCAUGGAUGAAUCCCGGUUUUCACUGUACAAGGCAGAUGGCAGACAGCGUGUAUGG